UACGUAGGGGGCAAGCGUUGUCCGGAUUUAUUGGGCGUAAAGAGCGUGUAGGCGGCCAUACAGGUCCGUUGUGAAAACUCGAGGCUCAACCUCGAGACGUCGAUGGAAACCGUAUGGCUAGAGUCCGGAAGAGGAGAGUGGAAUUCCUGGUGUAGCGGUGAAAUGCGCAGAUAUCAGGAAGAACACCCGUGGCGAAGGCGGCUCUCUGGGACGGUACUGACGCUGAGACGCGAAAGCGUGGGGAGCAAACAGG
Molecule: ribosomal RNA, 253 nt
Filed under: uncultured bacterium
Lineage: Bacteria
Description: partial 16S ribosomal RNA
Rfam family: Bacterial small subunit ribosomal RNA
Source: RNAcentral